ACAUAAACCCGUGAUUUUCCCGCCA
This 25-nucleotide non-coding RNA is filed under the name Arabidopsis thaliana (thale cress). Lineage: Eukaryota; Viridiplantae; Streptophyta; Magnoliopsida; Brassicales; Brassicaceae. The record is from RNAcentral.